GUGUGGUGUGGAAGUGUUUGUUUUUUGCAAUAGAUUUUUGUUGCAGUUUAGGUUUGUAUUUUCUUUGUUUUGUAGUGCUUAUUAUGAAGGUUCGUAGGUUUAUGUCUGUAGGCCAGGCAGGUCAUUAAACUUAACAAAGAAUAAGUAAGUCGGGAGAGGGGAAUAGAAAUCUCCACAUACAUAUUCUUAAAAGCUGUAACACUCACCACAAAGAUCUGCUGAGUGAAGUCUGUGAGACGAACGCACCAAGUCUGGACGCUCUGUCAGGCUACAUUUUACGUUUUUGGGAGUGAGCAGGUGUUAUUCUGUUCCCCGGGUUGGUUUUGAAGUCAUGGCUCUCAAGUAAUUUUUGUGCUUCUCAAAAGUGCUGGAAUUGCAAAGAUCAACAUCAAAAGCUACAAACUGGAAACAGAGGAAGAUACUAGCCCCGUGUUUCUGAUUCAGUAUCACUGAAAUACUUUGGAACCAUAUAAAGGGCAAAGUACAUUCCACAUGUUGAAGGACAGUGCCUGGCCCUGUGGGGUGUCAUCCCCAAGCUGUAGGCAUAGUGGCAACCCAGGGGUUCAUCUCAACUCCCAUCAGAGUUCAAACAUUGAAUUAGUUGUGCAAUGGAAGGAGUAUUACCAGGACCCAGAUGCAGCCCAAGGAAAAAAGAAAACAAAAGGAGACACACACAGACACCAGAGCAUGAUGCAAGUGUGGCUUAAUCGGUGCUUGCACAUUGGGCUUGUUCUUUCCAAACCUGUUGCCCCGAUUCUGCAAGGCUAUCCUGCUGUAGAAGGAGGCCCUGGAGGACAAGACACCAUGUGGGGAAAACAGCCAUGGGGAGCAGAACCGAGGUAUCCCAGCUUAGCUCCCAACUGACAGCAGCCACAUGAGUGAGCAGAAAAACAACUUCCAAGGGUGAUUUAGCUACUGCUGCUGUGGAAUGUCAAAACUUUCAGCAAGGGAGCCCGAUGCAGAUCUGUUGAUAUGACACCAUUCCACAAGAAGACCAACUGAUGGCUUUGUGGCAAGUUGACUACACUGGGCUGUUUCUAUUCUGGGAAGACAGAGAUUUGUUCUAAGAGGAAUAGGCAUGUGUUGCAGGCAUAGGUUGACCUUUCCUGCCAUGGAGCCUCCUCUGGUACCACUAUUUGAAGGUUGAAGGAAUGUUGAUUCACCAGGAUUGAGUCAGACCAGCCAAGCCUAUGACCAUGAUGUCAACUGACUGUAUCACCUGUCACAUCAUCCAGAAGCUACAGACUUAUAAGGCAUUGGAAUAACUUGUAGAUGGCCCCGUUAAAGUACCAGCUUAGAGGCAACACUCCAUGAGAAUGAGACAUCAUCUCCAGGAUGGCACAUACACAUUGAAUCACACAGCAUUGAUAAGGAGAUGGCUCCCCAGUAGGAAGAAUAUAUUGGUCAUGAACCAAGGGAUGAAGCAGAAGUGUCUUGCUUCCUGUCCCUGCAGCCUCUCUUUCUGCAGUGCUAGAAAUCCUGGUCAAAAGGGGGCAUAAUUUUAUCAGGGGACACAGCAAAAGUCUCCACUACAUUGCAGCUAUGCCUGCUGCCUGGGGAUUUUGGGCUUCUUAUAAUUGGGACCAGCAAUAAAAGAGAAGAGUCACAGUCUUGGCAGGGCUAAUUGACCCUGAUCAGCAGGAGAAGAAAGGCUGUGGUUCCACUAUGAGGGUAGGGAAGACGUGUGGCACCACUGAUCCACUUUUGCAACCCAUGGUACUCCCGUGGCCAGUUGUGAUGACAGACAAGUGCAGGAACACUUUUGGGAAGGGCAUGGUGGCCAGAGUUCAGACCCCAUGGGAAUGAGGACCAGGGUCACACCACUGGAUAAGCCAGGAGGAAGAGAGGCCCACUGGAAGGCUGGAGGAGCUGCUCCCCAGAUGUAGAUGAAGUAGAUUUGAGCAGCACAGUGGUGGACCUAGUAGAGGCGGACAUCAAGAUCCUCUUCAAGGAAAGAUUAUCAAUAUAGUUUUCCCUGACCCAGAUUCUUCCCUUGACAUCACACCAGGAAAGUCUGACAACUUAACUUUAUUGGAUAUAGGCAACCGUUGAAUCCAAGUUUUGCCCACUGAAUCCAUCAAAUUGUUACAGCCAAUUCUAGAUGCCUGAGUGGACACAUGAAAUCCAGAUUCCCCAGUAAGCGCAUCCCCAUUAAUAAACUGACCAAAUGCAAUGUUAAUCUGUUCUAUAACCUUUAGAAUCCAUCCCAACAUAUAUUUUUUAGGUUCCUGCCAAGAUAUGUUAGCAAAAGCUUGCAAUUUUUUGAAAAAUGAAUUAUCUCUUCCUGGGACAUGUGUUGUACUUUUCUCUCUGAAAUAGGCUGAGCUCUGACUCCAUUAAAAGUCUGAAAGCAAUGAAGAGUGAAGGAGCGGAUAUUGGGGAGAAUAGGCAUCCUCUUGCAAGAUAACUGCCUCAAAGUCAUUAUAAGGUUUUCAAGCAAGAGAAAGCUAAUUUCCUUACACAUAUGAAGAAGCGUUG
Molecule: long non-coding RNA, 2478 nt
Filed under: Homo sapiens (human)
Lineage: Eukaryota; Metazoa; Chordata; Mammalia; Primates; Hominidae
Description: HSALNT0332458
Source: RNAcentral